Molecule: ribosomal RNA, 253 nt
Filed under: uncultured bacterium
Lineage: Bacteria
Description: partial 16S ribosomal RNA
Rfam family: Bacterial small subunit ribosomal RNA
Source: RNAcentral
UACAGAGGUCUCAAGCGUUGUUCGGAUUCAUUGGGCGUAAAGGGUGCGUAGGUGGCGCCGUAAGUCGGGUGUGAAAUUUCGGAGCUUAACUCCGAAACUGCAUUCGAUACUGCGGUGCUUGAGGACUGGAGAGGAGACUGGAAUUCAUGGUGUAGCAGUGAAAUGCGUAGAGAUCAUGAGGAAGACCAGUGGCGAAGGCGGGUCUCUGGACAGUUCCUGACACUGAGGAGCGAAAGCCAGGGGAGCAAACGGG